CGAUAACGAACGAGACCUUAACCUACUAAAUAGUGCUGCUAGCUUUUGCUGGUAUAGUCCUUCUUAGAGGGACUAUCGAUUUCAAGUCGAUGGAAGUUUGAGGCAAUAACAGGUCUGUGAUGCCCUUAGACGUUCUGGGCCGCACGCGCGCUACACUGACGGAGCCAACGAGUAUUAACCUUGGCCGAGAGGUCUGGGAAAUCUUGUGAAACUCCGUCGUGCUGGGGAUAGAGCAUUGUAAUUAUUGCUCUUCAACGAGGAAUUCCUAGUAAGCGCAAGUCUCAGCUUGCGUUGAUUACGUCCCUGCCCUUUGUACACACCGCCCGUCGCUACUACCGAUUGAAUGGCU
Molecule: ribosomal RNA, 349 nt
Filed under: uncultured Talaromyces
Lineage: Eukaryota; Fungi; Ascomycota; Eurotiomycetes; Eurotiales; Trichocomaceae
Description: SSU rRNA
Rfam family: Eukaryotic small subunit ribosomal RNA
Source: RNAcentral